ACUUGCCGCCGUUAGCAACGGUUACCUCAGAGACCGAUGCCGGGCCUGAAAGUAAAAUAUGACCGUGGUUAUUAAAGUUUAAAAAUUAGAAAAGAAGAGUUUUAAAUUAAAUAAAACAAUUCAUCUACCUGAGACCGGCCUUUAUUUAUCUAAACACGUCAGUGUAUCCGGCCAGUAGAAGAGACUCAGCUGUUCAAUAUAGUUUUGGUUCCUGGUUUAGAAACACACACCUGUCCUGCAGCAGGGUCAACGUGUACGAGUCCACGUCUCCCGGUGGUUUUUGCCACGAUGCCUGAAGGCUGUCGACUCCAGAGCUACUCAGGGUGAUGACACAGAGGUGUUCUGUUUCCCGCUCCUGGUCGUCACGGUGAUGGUGUACCGUCUCCCAGGUGUGAGAACAUUGAACGUGCACUCCCUCAUGUUAGGCUCCACCUCUCUGUGGUCCGAAUGGUUACCGUGGCGAAUUGUCAGGAAGUAGCUGUCACGUGAACCCGAGGGGGCGUGGCUCCACAUGGCGCUGAGCGAG
Molecule: long non-coding RNA, 526 nt
Organism: Thunnus maccoyii (southern bluefin tuna)
Lineage: Eukaryota; Metazoa; Chordata; Actinopteri; Scombriformes; Scombridae
Exons: 4
Source: RefSeq, a predicted model, not a curated record